This 519-nucleotide ribosomal RNA is filed under the name fungal sp. E14904M. RNAcentral describes it as "eukaryotic LSU rRNA". The stretch from base 181 to 334 matches the Rfam family "5.8S ribosomal RNA". Lineage: Eukaryota; Fungi. The record is from RNAcentral.
UCAUUGCUGGAACGCGCUUCGGCGCACCCAGAAACCCUUUGUGAACUUAUACCUACUGUUGCCUCGGCGCAGGCCGGCCUCUUCACUGAGGCCCCCUGGAGACAGGGAGCAGCCCGCCGGCGGCCAACUAAACUCUUGUUUCUUUAGUGAAUCUCUGAGUAAAAAACAUAAAUGAAUCAAAACUUUCAACAACGGAUCUCUUGGUUCUGGCAUCGAUGAAGAACGCAGCGAAAUGCGAUAAGUAAUGUGAAUUGCAGAAUUCAGUGAAUCAUCGAAUCUUUGAACGCACAUUGCGCCCUCUGGUAUUCCGGAGGGCAUGCCUGUUCGAGCGUCAUUUCAACCCUCAAGCCUGGCUUGGUGAUGGGGCACUGCCUGUAAAAGGGCAGGCCCUGAAAUCUAGUGGCGAGCUCGCCAGGACCCCGAGCGUAGUAGUUAUAUCUCGCUCUGGAAGGCCCUGGCGGUGCCCUGCCGUUAAACCCCCAACUUCUGAAAAUUUGACCUCGGAUCAGGUAGGAAUAC